UAUACCUAGGUGAUCCUCUAUGGGGUCCCUGUCCCCUAUACCUAGGUGAUCCCCUAUGGGAUCCCUGUCCCCUAUACCUAGGUGAUCCCCUAUGGGAUCCCUGUCCCCUAUACCUAGGUGAUCCCCUAUGGGAUCCCUGUCCCCUAUACCUAGGUGAUCCUCUAUGGGAUCCCUGUCCCCUAUACCUAGGUGAUCCCCUAUGGGAUCCCUGUCCCCUAUACCUAGGUGAUCCUCUAUGGGAUCCCUGUCCCCUAUACCUAGGUGAUCCUCUAUGGGGUCCCUGUCCCCUAUACCUAGGUGAUCCUCUAUGGGAUCCCUGUCCCCUAUACCUAGGUGGCUCCCAGCCUGUUCAGCAGCCCCAUUCAAGUGUGGCAGAUGCAUCUCAGGAGGGAGGUCACGCCAUCCUGGGCCUCAGAACUCUAAGUGCAG
Apodemus sylvaticus (European woodmouse) is the source of this 429-nucleotide long non-coding RNA. RefSeq lists it as uncharacterized. The record is from RefSeq and is a predicted model, not a curated record. NCBI's taxonomy places the organism in Eukaryota, Metazoa, Chordata, Mammalia, Rodentia, Muridae. The transcript is spliced from 4 exons.